RNAcentral lists this ribosomal RNA (460 nucleotides) under uncultured bacterium. Its description in RNAcentral is "partial 16S ribosomal RNA". It matches the Rfam family "Bacterial small subunit ribosomal RNA", at positions 338 to 795 of the family's 1533-position model. The record is from RNAcentral.
CCUACGGGUGGCAGCAGUGAGGAAUAUUGGUCAAUGGACGAGAGUCUGAACCAGCCAAGUAGCGUGAAGGAUGACUGUCCUAUGGGUUGUAAACUUCUUUUAUAUGGGAAUAAAAUGUUCCACGUGUGGGAUUUUGUAUGUACCAUAUGAAUAAGGAUCGGCUAACUCCGUGCCAGCAGCCGCGGUAAUACGGAGGAUCCGAGCGUUAUCCGGAUUUAUUGGGUUUAAAGGGUGCGUAGGUGGUUAAUUAAGUCAGCGGUGAAAGUUUGUGGCUCAACCAUAAAAUUGCCGUUGAAACUGGUUGACUUGAGUAUAUUUGAGGUAGGCGGAAUGCGUGGUGUAGCGGUGAAAUGCGUAGAUAUAAGGAGGAACACCAGUGGCGAAGGCGGUCUGCUGGACAGCAACUGACGGUGAGGCGCGAAAGCGUGGGGAGCAAACAGGAUUAGAUACCCUAGUAGUC